CCGUCGUAGCCGAGCGGCCAAAGGCGUCAGACUCAAGAUCUGCUCCGUAGAGGUUCACCGGUUCGAAUCCGGUCGACGGCACCAU
RNAcentral lists this transfer RNA (85 nucleotides) under methanogenic archaeon ISO4-H5. RNAcentral describes it as "tRNA-Leu". It matches the Rfam family "tRNA". From Rfam's summary of the family: Transfer RNA (tRNA) molecules are approximately 80 nucleotides in length. Their secondary structure includes four short double-helical elements and three loops (D, anti-codon, and T loops). Lineage: Archaea; Methanobacteriati; Thermoplasmatota; Thermoplasmata. The record is from RNAcentral.